CAUGGGUGGAGGAGCUGAGGGUGUGAGCAGGGCUGCAGCGGGCAGGUCCAAGGCAGGGAGAGUCUCCAUAACAGCUCUGCACGAUGGGAGGACCCCAAGACAGCAGCCCAAGGAGGACAGGCAUUCUCAUGAGACAGCCGGAAUCCAGGUCUUCAGCUCCUCUGUGGUGCCGCAGGGGCUCCUGGGAGUCCGCCAUCUUGUGGACAGUGAACGGCCAGCCGUCUGCUCUCUACUGGAUCUGAAGACAUCCCUGGGAGCAGAGCGGAUGUUGGUAGCAGAUUCCAGUAUGGGAAGCUCAGAGAAGUUUCCAGAUGGCAGAUUAUGGGAUUUUUUUCCGCCUUCAAAAUUGUGAGUUGACUUCCAUUUUAAAAAUUCCCUUACCUGUAUCUAUAUUUAUAUCCAUACAUGUAUCUAUCUGUAUCUUACUGGUUCUGUUUAUAUUGUGUAUAUGCAGUAGCUAUCAUAGACUUUUUUUUUAUAUUGCAGAAACUUUUUAUUUAUUUAUUUAUU
This is a non-coding RNA of Sus scrofa (pig), 510 nucleotides long. Lineage: Eukaryota; Metazoa; Chordata; Mammalia; Artiodactyla; Suidae. The record is from RefSeq and is a predicted model, not a curated record.